This 3894-nucleotide long non-coding RNA is filed under the name Canis lupus familiaris (dog). RNAcentral describes it as "lncRNA (ENSCAFG00040008645.1)". The record is from RNAcentral. Lineage: Eukaryota; Metazoa; Chordata; Mammalia; Carnivora; Canidae.
UAUUUUCAGAUUUUUAACUUUAUUUAUUUAAGCACUAACCACAGAAAAUGAGGAUUUAAUGGCAGCAUGAAAGAUUUAAGUUAAACCGGAAAGAGGCUGAGAGAAAGAGGAUACAUCUUAUGGAUCGUUUACUUUAUACCAACAUUGUGCUAAAUAUUUUUUAUAUCUUACUUAAUAUAUCAGUGAGGGCUGUCAUUAAAAAUACUAAACGUGUUAAUUAGUUUAUUCUCUUAUUUAGAAAUUAUUUGUUAAGCAUCCUUUGUGUACAAACAUAUACCAGAAGAUAAAGAGGAGGUAAACAGAUUUGUAAAUAUACAUCCUUUUUUUUUUUUUUUUUUGGUUAUAGGAGAAAUUAAUUAAUCACCUUGGAUCAUCUUCUUUGAGAAUGAAUAUAAGAUUAGAUUAUAUCCCAAGACAUCCUAACUCUAUAAAUCUAUGCUGAAGAAUUUUGUUUUCCUGCUUCUUGAACCAUCUUUCCUUCACUCAUGUCUUCUGACACUAAGGGCUCUUAUUCUAUGCAAAAUUGCCCUAGGGAGCUCCCUAAUACUUGAACUAGGACCUGGGGAUCACAUCGCUUUGAUAGCAAGACAGAAAAAAAUGGGACUGGGACAAUGACAUCCUCAUACGUUUGGACACAUUUUGCCCCGUUUUUAACAGGGUGAGGCUUAUGGCCAUCACUUUGCCUUCUCUUGGAUGCUUAAUUCAUCAACCACCCUUUCUUCUUCCUUCCAACUCUCUGUGGAACUAAAAUACACCACCAGGCCCUUCAUUACGAGUGCCAAACAUGAGGGCAUACAAGAAAGAAAAUAUCUUAAAUGCAAGAAAGCUGUAGAAAAUCAAAUGCCUUUGUGAUCUCAAUUCUAUAUUUACGUGUGGGAUCUAGGGGUAAAUAUGUAUAUGAUAUCAAAGAGCCUAUUACACAUUAAAAUUUUUUGUUAAUAUAGAUUUUAUAGUGAUCAUUCUUCAAGCGCCUUCCACACGGAACCUCUGCACUGAGCAAUAAACAUUGCUUAUUAAUGAAACCCAUUGCUUAGCCUGUCAGGAGGCAGCGACACUCUUCUGUAAAUACUUUACGCAUGGGUUUUCCUCAGUGUCAGUAGAAAAAUGUGUAGGGAAACAUGCAGCGACAACUGUGUCGGAUUUUAGCAGACAGAUCUCUCGGUUGUUCCAGGAGGUCCACCUCUUCCAAGGGAGAAUCUUCCCCAAACUGAGGGAGAGAUUCUCUUCGUUUCUGUUCCCAACUUCUAGAAGAGAUAGCAUGACACCCCUUUGCCCUUAGACCAAAAUAAACAGAUGUUGAAACACUAAUUCCAAAUAACCUAUUGUUGUGAAGGUGAGGACAUUUUUGUCAUUUAAUAUUCAACCUCGAACAUACCAAGGUAUUAAGUAGAAAGGAGCAGCAUUUUAAGGACUUGCAUUCUGCAGUAUCCCAGCAGCAGAAGGGGAUCACUCUCCUCUCCAGACUGUUGGCAGAGGGCAUUGAAAAUGUGAUUGAGAAUGAAAAUGAAAUGAAAAUGAAACCUAACACUGGUGUCUCUUCGAACCACUCUGUAUAAUUUAAUGUACUUAAACUCUUCCUGCAAAAUCCUGCUGCUUCUCCGUUGUUUGAUAUUCUGACCAUUUUUGAACCCUUGAACUCUGACAGAGAGGAGGGUCUUGGAAAGGUUGUCAUCCGAUCGGUGUUAGAAGGCAAAAGGGAUAGCUCUCUCCUUGAUAGCUCUUCUUUCUGCUUAACGGUUGGUGGGAGAUUAAAAUGAUCUAGGUGGAGAAGACCGGUGCAAGGUCGGGGGACACCACAUUUGGGGGGAGGGUUUGUCUGCAUGUCAAAAACUGGACAGGGUUUGGUUUUUUAUCCCCUUCUUUUUUCCUGCCACACUGUAAGAAGAUUUCACUGCUUAUUUAUUCAUUUUUAUGAUUAACUCCAAGUCUUGAAGGAGACUUUUUCUUCUGCUAUGCUACUGUCCAGCCAGGAUCGUGGUUAGACGCUGACAUUCUGAGUUCCAGCCAUAUUAAUUGCUGGAUAAAGGCUAUAAUCCUUCUCUCUUUGAAGCCCAAGGCUGAUUUUUAGGCAACACUUCAAAAGCAGAGCACAACUGAAGAGGCAUGUUUCCUACCAGCACUGAAUUACCAUGAUCGACUCAGCUUGCGUUAGUCUACACGUACCUUACAUAUUUGGCUACCCAACCGAUUUGAUUUUGACACUAGAGAGCAAAAGAAAAUACCUUAUGUUAUCUAAAGGGUGAUCUGUAACUCCUUGUGAGGUAUUUUGAUGGUUAUUUAAACCACCUUAGAAAUAGAAACACCUAAAUCAUUCUUUCCUUACACAAGAAAACAUCAUGCUUGAAAGUUCUCGCCUCUCUCUCUCUUUUUCGUGUUUUGGCGCAACAUCAUAUAAAGCCAUCAGUCUGGGUCCACUGUGAUUAAUGACAAAAGCCUAUGUAAAUAAGGCAUUUCAUACAUUCUCAAAUUAUUGUAACCCAUGGAAGUCUUUUCAAAAUAAUUUCUCACAUCAGCCAUGUAAAAGCCAACCCAAAAUAUGUAAAGCAACUCUUACAAGAUUUUAAAACAAGUAUGGAGUAUAACUGUUCCAUAAAAGACUAAACAGAAACAACCAUCCCAACACCAACAAAAACAAAAACUAAAAAAAGGCUAAAGUAAAAUGGAAAUGCAUGACCAAUAUGGAACUUUUCACCGGUGUCUGUUUCGCUUACAGCUUGUUUAUCUCUGGAUCUGUGCUAUCAGGACUUUCUCAUAUAGGAUUUGCCAAGUGUACUUAGUGUGCUAUGUUUGAGAAAGAUUAACAGUAUUUCAGAUCAAAGGAGGACCCUGCUGCAUGGUCUUACGAGAUUGUCAUUCACUCCCAUUAUGGCUCAUUUGCACAAGAUUUUCAUGUAAUAUGAGCCAUUGUUUUGAUGGCAGUGAUUUGACAUAAAGACAGGGCCGAACUGCAUCUCUGCGUCCUCCUCAGCCAGGCUGGGGGGUAUCUUGGUCCCAAAGAACUUGCCAAUCAUAAAAGGCAACUGUUACUCAGUUAUGGAUCAGCCUUCCCCCCACCCCCAACCAUCCGCUGCCCCCACCUCCUUGUUUUUAAGGUGGAAAACUUCUUGAAUGUUCACGGAUACCAUAAAAAUCAGACAAUGCCUACUUGUGCUAGAUUAGAUACAGUUUAACCAGACAAAGUUUCAGAUACCCUAUUCAAGAGAGCAAGUUAUGAGGCAUUUUAGAGAACUGCUUUUUUCUCGUGCUUUCUGCCAUGCUUAUUUUGAUUUUAAAAUAACUUGAAGUGGUGAAAAGUUAUGUCUGAGCUACACUGAAAACUUUUCUUUAGGCUGUAUUUAUGUUUUUCUAGUGAUUUAGUUUCUUGGCUAUGCAUAGAAUAUAUAUUCACCUAUUUACAUAUACUAGUCACUAAUGUUCUCUCUUUCUUUCUCCAAGUUAGAUUUAAAAGGAAAAAAGAGAGAGAGGUAUUAUCGCUGCUUCAAUGGUGCCCGACAAUACAAAUGAAAAAAGAAAUAUUCAAUCAAAAUCCAUAAGAUUUCAAAUGUAAUUUAUUUAACUAGAGACAAUAUCCUCUUAUUAACUUUAUACAGCAUAUAUCACGAUAUAAAAAAUGCAUUUUCGUUGUAUUUCUACAAAUAUGGCAAGAAAAAUUUUGAAGUGCUUUCUUCGAAGUGUUAAAUGUAAAGAAUUAAGAAUAAAAACAUUGGAAUAUAAUCUCUUUUUAGUGUCUGGCUUGAGUUUUCUAAGUUAAUGUAUUUUAAAUCUGAAAUUGUAGUGCUUGUGCAGCAUUUACUAUUUCUGGAAACAUGCUGGUUAAUUUUAUGCAGCAUUUAUUCAAAUGCUUUCUAUACAAAGAUGCAUCCAAAUUUUUAGAGUUCUAAAAUUUAUUUUAUG